Molecule: long non-coding RNA, 869 nt
Filed under: Zostera marina
Lineage: Eukaryota; Viridiplantae; Streptophyta; Magnoliopsida; Alismatales; Zosteraceae
Description: long non-coding RNA (ZMAR_LNC002242)
Source: RNAcentral
GUGCUCAGAAGAACUGGUUCGAAUGUUCUAAUGACAUAUUCCCUUGGUUUAAGUUUUUCAAAUUUUGUUCACAUCACAAAAGAGAGAAAUCACCACCGCCGCCAAAAUACUAUCAACCUUCACCACCGCCGCCAGAAUACUAUCAACCUCCACCACCGACCGAAUGCAAGCCACCUUCACCACCUCCAUACGAGAGUCCAAAAUACGAGCCAUCUCCGCCCAAACCACCCCCAUACCACCCUCCAAGAUACGAACGACCAACAUACAAACGACGUCCCAAGUACACGACACCUUCACCACCGACCGAAUACAAGCCACCUCCAUACGAGAGUCCAAAAUACGAGCCAUCUCCGCACAAACCACCCCCAUACCACCCUCCAAGAUACGAACGACCAACACACAAACGACGUCCCAAAUACACACCACCACCAACUGAGUAUAAAUCUCCACCAAAACAUGAGCCAUUCCCGUACCACCCUCCAAGAUAUGAACCUCCAACACACAAACGACGUCCUAAACACAAGCCAUAUACGCCCAGGACACCCACGUACCACCCUCCAAGAUAUGAACCUCCAACACACAAACGACGUCCGAAAUACGCACCAAAACCAAACAAGCCAUGUCCAGAUCCAUACCAGCCUCCAAUCCACAUCUAGCUAGUCUUCUAGAAUCUAGAUCCAAUAUUAUUCAAUCAUCCAUCCAUGCAAGACCAAUUUGAAUUUCCUAGUGCGUACGAAAUAAUUCUGUCAUUUUAAUUUAAUCAUUACUUUUUCAAUCAAUUAAUUAAUUAAUUAAUCGUGUUUAUGUAGUUAUAUAUGUUUGAAUUUUAAUAAAGAAUAUUGGAUCUUUUGAAUCUAAAAAUGGAGGAA